CGCUUAUUGCGCGGCGAUAACCUUACACACAUUGUCUAGUUUUUUUGAACUUUGCUUUGGGUGCAUCAGCCUAGCUGCGUGCCCAAAGGUCUAAACACAUUUUUUUAAUGUUAAAACCUUUAACCAAUAGUCAUGAAAAUUUUUAACAAAAAUUAAAAUCUUCAAAACUUUCAACAACGGAUCUCUUGGUUCUCGCAACGAUGAAGAACGCAGCGAAAUGCGAUACGUAUUGUGAAUUGCAGAUUUUCGUGAAUCAUCGAAUCUUUGAACGCACAUUGCACCCUCUGGUAUUCCAGAGGGUAUGCCUGUUUGAGCGUCAUUUCUCUCUCAAACCUUCGGGUUUGGUAUUGAGUGAUACUCUGUCAAGGGUUAACUUGAAAUAUUGACUUAGCAAGAGUGUACUAAUAAGCAGUCUUUCUGAAAUAAUGUAUUAGGUUCUUCCAACUCGUUAUAUCAGCUAGGCAGGUUUAGAAGUAUUUUAGGCUCGGCUUAACAACAAUAAACUAAAAGUUUGACCUCAAAUCAGGUAGGACUACCCGCUGAACUUAAGCAUAUC
RNAcentral lists this ribosomal RNA (556 nucleotides) under Hansenula anomala. RNAcentral describes it as "eukaryotic LSU rRNA". The stretch from base 166 to 319 matches the Rfam family "5.8S ribosomal RNA". The record is from RNAcentral. Lineage: Eukaryota; Fungi; Ascomycota; Saccharomycetes; Phaffomycetales; Wickerhamomycetaceae.